UAACAUUUGAAACUUAACUAUCUUAGUUGUAAUCAUGUGCUUCAACUGUAGAGGGUUAAUCAAUUUAGUGGAAGUGGAUAUUGAAUAUGUUUAAGCAUAAGGUUGUGUGUUAGGUUCAGGUAAUUGUAUGUUUUCCAGUUCACUUUAGUAGGUGCAUGCUCACAGUUCCAGAAACAACAUGAGGUCUUAUGAAUAUUUCAUGUUUCUAUGUAUAAUGAAAAUAAUAAGCCUUCAUCCAUUCUUAUAUAUACUCUUUGAUCUUGUGGUGUUUGUGCAGGUCCAGAACAUCUGCACUAAAACACCUAAAAAGAAGUCCUACAAAGAUUUGGUUAGUUGCUUCAUGCUUUCUCUAUUCCUCUCUUAAUACUUAGCUCUAUUUGAUUGAUCUGUGCUAUACUGCUAUGUGCUAUUUUUUAUUUUUGUAUCUCAACUUAAUCUUUGAGAACUGCAUGUACCACUAUUUCUGUAUUUUUAUUAAUUUUGUUCAUACUGCUAUGUUCGAUCUGUGCUAUAGAGCUAUGGUAGGACAAGGGUCUCAUUCUAUUUGCUGAAACAUCCCAGCAACAAUUUCCAUGUCCAUAGUACAGUUAUUGAUUGGUGACUUAUGGCCACCAAAAUAUUCAUCCAUGUUAGUUGUAAUUGCACUCUUAGAUGUGCCUCCACUGCAUCCACUACUACUCUAUAUGAUAGUCUCAACUCUGACCCUCUUGACCCUCGACAUGAGUGUCUUGCUUAAAUGGUUUUUUUAGAUGCAACUGUGGUCCUCUUGUUACCUCUAGAAUGUGUAUUUGUACUGCUGUAGAAAAACACCUCAUCAGACUAUUUCCAAUGUUGGUGUAUAUUUACUUGAACCAGUGUUCUCUCAUGGUCAACUACAUCAUCUACCGUGCCUAUUUUUCUAGGACUCUUAAUGCCAUCAGGCUGGCAUUUUGUUCAACUCAUUAGCUGGUUACAGUAACAAGGAACCACCAUUUUGAUGCAAAGGAGCAGAUGCGACAGGAUCACAAGUAGAAGGAGCGGCGACGAUGCUGUAGCGAGAGACACGGGUGCCGAGGUUGUUGUGCUGCGGUGGUGGCAGGACAGAAAGGAAACGAAAAAGCAGGAGCCAGGGCUGUUCAACAACGUGACCGAGUCGCUGAGGCGAGGAAGAGUAAGGUGAAGGCACUCGUUGACGCCUUUGAGACUGACAGAGCGUCAUCUCGCUGCAGGAAACCAGCAAGCCUGCUGCUGCUCCAGCUAUGGAAGUAGGUGUCGUGCCAUGAGUGCUUCUUGACCUGCAGUGUGCAUGAUCACACCUUUCUUGGAAUUUUGGACUUUUUUUGGUUGUUAGUGACCAUAAAAGUGGUGCUUGUUGAGGUUUGCUCGUUCCCAUGUAAACUGAUUUUCUCAUAGGAGUUUCCAUACUUUUGUAGUGCUACGAAAAAAGGAAAGUCUGUACAGGUUUUGUGUCUAUGAAAGGCUUGAGAAGUUGGCAUUGUACUGAUAAGUGAUAAGUAAACAAGUUAUUGUAAUGAUUUAAACUAGAUUGUUUUGAAAGGAAA
Molecule: long non-coding RNA, 1541 nt
Organism: Zea mays
Lineage: Eukaryota; Viridiplantae; Streptophyta; Magnoliopsida; Poales; Poaceae
Exons: 3
Source: RefSeq, a predicted model, not a curated record